CCUACGGGUGGCAGCAGUCGAGAAUCAUUCACAAUGGGGGAAACCCUGAUGGUGCGACGCCGCGUGGGGGAAUGAAGGUCUUCGGAUUGUAAACCUCUUUUGUCGGGGAGCAAAGCCCGCCACGUGUGGCGGGAAGGAGAGUACCCGAAGAAAAAGCAUCGGCUAACUCCGUGCCAGCAGCCGCGGUAAUACGGAGGAUGCGAGCGUUAUCCGGAUUUAUUGGGUUUAAAGGGUGCGUAGGCGGAAGGUUAAGUCAGUGGUAAAAUGUCGGUGCAAAACACCGGCCGGCCGUUGAAACUGGUCUUCUUGAGUGAGCGAGAAGUAUGCGGAAUGCGUGGUGUAGCGGUGAAAUGCAUAGAUAUCACGCAGAACUCCGAUUGCGAAGGCAGCAUACCGGCGCUCAACUGACGCUGAGGCACGAAAGCGUGGGGAUCGAACAGGAUUAGAUACCCGGUAGUC
Molecule: ribosomal RNA, 459 nt
Filed under: uncultured bacterium
Lineage: Bacteria
Description: partial 16S ribosomal RNA
Rfam family: Bacterial small subunit ribosomal RNA
Source: RNAcentral